Long non-coding RNA from Bos taurus (domestic cattle), 1285 nucleotides. The record is from Ensembl. Lineage: Eukaryota; Metazoa; Chordata; Mammalia; Artiodactyla; Bovidae.
GGUUCAUGGGCAAUGGCCUUCGAUUAGAAUAGUACCGCUCCUUGAGUGGCAGUUCUAGAAAUCUCAGCAUCACGAGAGGCUGUAAUUGCUUCCAGUGUUAUCUGCUUUGUUGUCUUGUCAUUUUAUUUCUUAGCUGUUUUAUAUUCUGGGCACAGAACCAGCUGGGGAAGAUACCAACCCAGUGGUGUCAUUGCUGGUGGCUCGCUGCUGGUACCGUCUGUUUAAACCUUGGCUUUUAAUCCAGGUCCUUCUUAUUGUUCAUGGUGGGUCACUUGGAAGGAUGUGGUUCCAUUUGUGGCUUCUGUUGAGAGCUUCCCUGGUGGCUCAUACACUAAAGCAUCUGCCUACAAUGCGGGAGACCCAGGUUCAAUCCAUGGAUCAGGAAGAUCUCCUGGAGAAGGAAAUGGAAACCCACUCCAGUAUUCUUGCCUGGAAAAUCCUAUAGACGGAGGAACCUGAUCCCAUUUAGUGAAUCCUGCUUGCUCUACCUUCAGGAUAUAUCCAGCUGCUGCCCCUGCCAUCCUGUCCAGGCCAUUGCCACCUCUUGUCUGAAUCAUCACAGAGCCUCUAACACGUCUCCCUUCAUCCUUUUGCCCCUGACACGGUGGAGAAGAGACCAAACAGCUGCCAGAGAUCCUCAGCAUGGCGCCCUGGGGCACCGAGGACGCGUGUGCUGCUGUGAAAGCAGAAGCCAGAAUUCUCAUGAUGACUUCAGGGCCCCCUGUGACUCGGCCCCUACGUCCUUCUCUUCAUGCCCUCGCACACUUCUCACCUCUCAUUCUAUUCCAGCCACAGGGGUCUGGCUUCCGUUCCCUGAACUCUCAUGCCCUGAGGCCUUUGCACUCGCUGUCCCUUCUGCCCACACUGCUCUUCUCUAGGGUAUCUGACAGCUCACUCCCUCACCUCUUUCAGGGCUUUCAAAUGCCACCUUCCUCAUGGAGCCUUCCUGGUCAUUCUAUUCAUAAUUUCUCCCCUAAUGGAAACCCUUCACCCCACUAUGUCCCUGAUUUCAUUUUCUCUUUAGAACUUAUGAUGAUCUGACAUACAUAUUUAUAUUAUAUAUUUUAUAUACUUAUUGUGUUGAUUGUCUUUUUCCUGCACAAGAAUAUGAAGUCUAUGAAGAAAUAGUUUUUUUAAAAGUUCUAUCCAGGGCUUCCCUGGUGGUUCAGUGGUUAAGAAUCUGCCUGCCAAUGCAGAGGACACAGGUUUGAUGCCUGGUCUGGGAGGAUCCCACAUGCCACUAAGCCCAUGUGCCACAACUACUGAAGCUGGCACACACUAGAGC